RNAcentral lists this transfer RNA (64 nucleotides) under Trapezodirus sp. 1 EF-2015. Its description in RNAcentral is "tRNA-Asp". Lineage: Eukaryota; Metazoa; Arthropoda; Insecta; Coleoptera; Leiodidae. The record is from RNAcentral.
AUAAGUUUAGUUAAAGUAUAACAUUAAAUUGUCAUUUUAAAAUUAUUAAUUAUAAUAACUUUUA